Oncorhynchus kisutch (coho salmon) is the source of this 4649-nucleotide long non-coding RNA. Lineage: Eukaryota; Metazoa; Chordata; Actinopteri; Salmoniformes; Salmonidae. The record is from Ensembl.
GCUUCCCAAUUUCCAGUUUAGUUUUUCUACCUUUUACUUUCAUUUGGGACACCAGCUUCAAACAGCUGAAAAUACAACAUUUUUGGUUCUGGAAAUAUAUUUCACAGUGGUUUAGAUGGUACAAUGAUUCUCUACACAAUGACUGCUUGUUUUGUCACAUAAACUGACAUGAGGCAAACUAUUCGAAUUUUUGCAACUUGGAAAUGGCAGAGAUUUCUGCAUAUUGCACAUUUUAAGUAUCCAGUCUGUGUUUGCAGGUAUGGCAUGCGUGAGUUUGUGGUCAUCUCCCCUGGGGCCAACUGGGAGGCAGUCAUCACCAGGUGCCGAUGUUUGUUCAGGUCCAGCAGAAGUGGAGGAGGAUGUACCGUGGGGAGUGCCAGGGACCGGGGAUGCGUACAGACCCUGAGAUGGUCCACCUCCGCAAGGUGCCCAGACAAUACAACCACCUCUCAGGCCUGCUGGACAUCUUUAAGUCCAAGACGGUCUGUCCCCUGUCUCCUCUUCCUCCCAUCAACACCGCUAUCCGCUUCACGUACGUCCUGCAGGACUGGCAGCAGUACUCCUGGCCUCAGCUGCCCCCAGACUUCGACGGUCUCCUCAGAGGGGAGGUGUGAGGGGUGGAGUUUGGGAAGCUGCCGUUCAGAGCGUGUGAGGAUCCAAUCAGGUGACUUCCUGACAGAGUUCUUUAAGCUGUGCUCCAAGAAGGAGUCAGAGGAGAUUCUGGGAAGAGGUCCAUUUGAGGAGGAAGGUAGGUCAUGUGUUCUAUGGCUACUGGGGUGUAUCUCAAUAGUCUUAACAUCUCUUUCUUUAAUUUUCCAAUAUAACAUUUUAUUCGUAACAUGCGCUGAAUACAACAGGUGUAGACCUUACAGUGAGAUGCUGAAUACAACAGGUGUAGACCUUACAGUGAGAUGCUGAAUACAACAGGUGUAGACCUUACAGUGAAAUGCUUACGUACGAGCCCCUAACCAACAAUGCAGUUUAAAAAAAUAUGAAUAAGAAAUAAAGGUAACAAGUAAUUAAAGAGCAGCAGUAAAAUAACAAUAGCGAGGCUAUGUACAGAGUCAAUGUGCGGGGUCACUGAUUAGUCGAGGUAAUUGAGGUAAUAUGUACAUGUAGGUAGAGUUAUUAAAUUUACUAUGCAUAGAUGAUAACAACAGAGAGUAGCAGUGGUGUAAAAGGGUGGGAGGGGCAAUGCAAAUAGUCUGGGUAGCCAUUUGAUUAGAUGUUCAGGAGUCUUAUGGCUUGGGGGUAGAAGCUGUUUAGAAGCCUCUUGGACCAAGACUUGGCGCUCCGGUACUGCUUGCCUUGCGGUAGCAGAGAGAACAGUCUAUGACUAGGGUGGCUGGAGACUUUGACAAUGUUUAGAGCCUUCCUCUGACACCGCCUGGUAUAGAGGCCCUGGAUGGCAGGAAGCUUGGCCCCAGUGAUGUACUGGGCUGUGCGCACUACCCUCUGUAGUGCCUUGUGGUCGGAGGCCGAACAGUUGCCAUACCAGGCAGUGAUGCAACCAGGAUGCUCUCGAUGGUGCAGAUGUAGAACCUUUUGAGGAUCUGAGGACCCAUGCCAAAUAUGUUCAGUCUCCUGAGGGGGAAUAUGUUUUGUUGUGCCCGCUUCACGACUGUCUUGGUGUGCACGGACCAUGUUAGUUUGUUGGUGAUGUGGACACCAAUAUGGUGUAUUCUCUAGGGGGAUUUGUGCAGACGUCAGUGCAGAUGAUGGGAAGUAGAAGCCACUCUGGACUCUUGGCUUGUUGUUUGCUUGUGAAGGGAGAAUUGCGCUCUCUUCUCAGUCAGAGCCCACCCUCACACCCUCCCUGUGAAUGGCUUCUCUGUCCCUCCCCCUCCACUCUCUCCUCAUUAGACGACAUCAGCCCUGUCUAAACUGACGGAGCCCACAGCCGUGCCCAUCCCCAAGCUGUCUGUCUCCAACAUGGUGCACAGCGCCCGCUAACGCUAACGCCGCCACCGCCGCAUUGACGAAUCACCGCUCAGAAAUGACGUGCUCAACUCUAUACCGCUGGUGAGAGAGAGCAGGCAUGACAACGGACACACAGACACACACACACUCUUACCUUCUAAAGGCAUAUGGUGAUUUAGGCUGGCUGACAUUGUACUACACAAGAGGAGAGCAGGAGAGUCUUCAGCCAGACUCCUCAGUUACUGGCCCUGCUGUGUGAACAGCUUCUUGAUCAGCCGUGAAGCCAUUGCUCAAGCAGUACCUUAUUCCCUACUUGCUCACACUGCCAUUGGCCUAGACCUGCCCCCCCCCCCCAGCGCACGUUUUGUUGUUUACCCUAGCACUACACAGCUGCUUCAAAUAUCAACAUCAUCAAGCUUUGUGUAGUGCUAGGGAAGGACACAGGAUACCCUGUAUUGUGUAGUGUUAGGGUAUGACACAGGAUACCCUGUAUUGUGUAGUGUUAGGGUAGGACACAGGAUACCCUGUAUUGUGUAGUGCUAGGGUAUGACACAGGAUACCCUGUAUUGUGUAGUGCUAGGGUAGGACACAGGAUACCCUGUAUUGUGUAGUGCUAGGGUAGGACACAGGAUACCCUGUAUUGUGUAGUGCUAGGGUAGGACACAGGAUACCCUGUAUUGUGUAGUGCUAGGGUAUGACACAGGAUACCCUGUAUUGUGUUGUGCUAGGGUAUGACACAGGAUACCCUGUAUUGUGUAGUGCUAGGGUAUGACACAGGAUACCCUGUAUUGUGUAGUGCUAGGGUAGGACACAGGAUACCCUGUAUUGUGUAGCGCUAGGGUAGGACACAGGAUACCCUGUAUUGUGUAGCGCUAGGGUAGGACACAGGAUACCCUGUAUUGUGUAGCGCUAGGGUAGGACACAGGAUACCCUGUAUUGUGUAGCGCUAGGGUAGGACACAGGAUACCCUGUAUUGUGUAGCGCUAGGGUAGGACACAGGAUACCCUGUAUUGUGUAGCGCUAGGGUAGGACACAGGAUACCCUGUAUUGUGUAGCGCUAGGGUAGGACACAGGAUACCCUGUAUUGUGUAGCGCUAGGGUAGGACACAGGAUACCCUGUAUUGUGUAGCGCUAGGGUAGGACACAGGAUACCCUGUAUUGUGUAGCGCUAGGGUAGGACACAGGAUACCCUGUAUUGUGUAGCGCUAGGGUAGGACACAGGAUACCCUGUAUUGUGUAGCGCUAGGGUAGGACACAGGAUACCCUGUAUUGUGUAGCGCUAGGGUAGGACACAGGAUACCCUGUAUUGUGUAGCGCUAGGGUAGGACACAGGAUACCCUGUAUUGUGUAGCGCUAGGGUAGGACACAGGAUACCCUGUAUUGUGUAGCGCUAGGGUAGGACACAGGAUACCCUGUAUUGUGUAGCGCUAGGGUAGGACACAGGAUACCCUGUAUUGUGUAGCGCUAGGGUAGGACACAGGAUACCCUGUAUUGUGUAGCGCUAGGGUAGGACACAGGAUACCCUGUAUUGUGUAGCGCUAGGGUAGGACCGAGUUUAGGAAACCCUGUGUUAGAGGCUCAGUGGUAAGUCAGACAGUUGUUAAAUAAAACAUUCAAAUCAGACACUCGGUUCGUAGCAGGAUUGUUCCUUCAGAGAUGUUUUGUGUCAAGGUAAGGAAAUGGAUGUUCCCAUGUACGAGAGUAUGUACGCUUAUAUUUGUGUGUGUAUGGUGUCAGUAUCUCUUCCCAGACGCAGCCAAAGGUAAACAGUCAUCAGAGAACAGCGAGAGAAAGGCUGCUCCAUCACACACCGACGGGGAACCAGAAGGGAAGGAUUCUGACGACUAUGUAGGUCUGCUGUCUGUGCUUUACCACACUAUCACUGUGUCACACUGCACUCCAGGGCUGUGUUCAGUAGUCACUGUGUCACACUGCACUCCAGGGCUGUGUUCAGUAGUCACUGUGUCACACUGCACUCCAGGGCUGUGUUCAGUAGUCACUGUGUCACACUGCACUCCAGGGCUGUGUUCAGUAGUCACUGUGUCACACUGCACUCCAUGACUGUGUUCAGUAGUCACUGUGUCAGACACACUGCACUCCAGGGCUGUGUUCAGUAGUCACUGUGUCACACUGCACUCCAGGGCUGUGUUCAGUAGGCAACUUCUACCGUGGAGGGGUCCGGGCCGUGGCUCACCUCUGGCAGAAGUUUGUCCUGGGGAUGAGAUACCGUUGGGAGAACAACGACCUCGUCUAUGGGUGAGAAGAACCAGAUUUGAGCUGGAUUACACUUUCUAUUACUCCCCAAUAGGGGAAACAACAACAGAUUUAUCAUUAGGACCAAUUCUAAACUACCUAGUCUUCUGGUGAGAACAUGGUCCUAUUUAUUACGCAACAAACAGAAGAAAAUGGACUAGUUCGGUCCAGUAAGAAACUAUAUAUUUUCUGUUUUCCCUUUUGCUACGGUGUGCCCCGAUGAAUAAGACCCCAGAUUAUAACACCUUCGAUUGCUACCUAAUGGGACACAGUAACAAGCACAGCAUCGAUUGGGAUCAAAUCCAUUUAUAUUCCUGUCAAUUUAAGUUCAUAUGGAAUUGGUCCAUUUUAAUAGACAUCUACUCAGACAUCCACCCAGUCAAUUCCUGAAGGGUUCUGUAAUAGAAAAACAUUGGAUUGAACCUGAACUGGAAUCCCAUCAAUAAUGAGGUUUAGGAUAUACACUGUGACAGUAC